RNAcentral lists this ribosomal RNA (476 nucleotides) under Enterobacter kobei. RNAcentral's name for it is "bacterial SSU rRNA". Lineage: Bacteria; Pseudomonadati; Pseudomonadota; Gammaproteobacteria; Enterobacterales; Enterobacteriaceae. The record is from RNAcentral.
AAAUUGAAGAGUUUGAUCAUGGCUCAGAUUGAACGCUGGCGGCAGGCCUAACACAUGCAAGUCGAACGGUAGCACAGAGAGCUUGCUCUCGGGUGACGAGUGGCGGACGGGUGAGUAAUGUCUGGGAAACUGCCUGAUGGAGGGGGAUAACUACUGGAAACGGUAGCUAAUACCGCRUAACGUCGCAAGACCAAAGAGGGGGACCUUCGGGCCUCUUGCCAUCAGAUGUGCCCAGAUGGGAUUAGCUAGUAGGUGGGGUAACGGCUCACCUAGGCGACGAUCCCUAGCUGGUCUGAGAGGAUGACCAGCCACACUGGAACUGAGACACGGUCCAGACUCCUACGGGAGGCAGCAGUGGGGAAUAUUGCACAAUGGGCGCAAGCCUGAUGCAGCCAUGCCGCGUGUAUGAAGAAGGCCUUCGGGUUGUAAAGUACUUUCAGCGGGGAGGAAGGUGUUGUGGUUAAUAACCACAGCAA